CCAGUCGGUGGAUCGAUCGACGUCCCGUCGAACCUCGCGGCCGUAAGCGCCGCUGCGCCUCUGGGCGGGGCGAGAGGGCGCUUCAGUCGUGUACUGGAGCCCACCAGGGUCGCGUCCAGCACCUCGAACGCUUCGGAGUUGCUCGUUCGCUCGGGUCUCUCUCUUUUCUCUCCAUCAACCUUUCGAAAAAGAAAAAAGACACUCCUCGUGUCUUUAGGGGCUGUGUUCUGAACUAAACUUCGAAAUAGACGCGUGAUCCUUCAACGCAUAUAUAAAAAGCGAGCGAGAAAGAGAGAAAGAGAGAGAAAGAGAGAGCCAAACGUGAGAGCUUAGUUAAUAUAGUGUUCUAUCUCCGAUUCGAGAUAUCCUUCCUUCGCUCGUAUAUACCCUGUAGUAGUAGUUCGAAACUCGAGGAUCGUACUAUUCCUGUUAGUACUAUAGUUCCAGCGACGCGGAUCAACCAGUGAUCGUUCCAACGCGGCGCGGCUUGUAUCGUCCUCGAAGACACGAGAUCGUAUCCGUACCAGGAUAUUUCUGUUUCCUUCGAAUCGCUCAAUUAAUCCGUGGAUUCAAUAUAGUUGUUCGUACUCGAUCGUUCUCGUCGGUUUGAACAUUUUAUUACGUUCGACUGUUUCGGUUCUUCGAACGGAGCCGGUCGUAUCGAUUCGAGAGGUGAUACGGGCGUACAUAGAUAGAGAUACACGCAUAGUGAGACAAGUGAGAUAUACAUUGGAGAGGUGCGUAAAAAGGGUUUCGGAAGUAUCCACGGGGAAGAGGUGUCUAUGUACGCGACCGGAGACACGGAGAGCUACCCUGGUACCUAGCGGACGACGCGGGGUGGCUUCACCAGUGAGUCUCAGCUUUACGCCCUUCUUUUCGCGAGCUGAUUCACCGUCACGCUUGCUUUCGACGCUUUACAAUAGCAUUUCGAGAGCUAGAUCUCGCGAGAGCGUAACCUCGUCCCAGGGUGGCGGGCUCCGUCAGCAGGAGGCGGCGAGCGUCGCGGAGCAUCAGCUAGUGUGGAAGAGGCGAGAUAGAUAGAUAGAUAGAUAGAUAGAUAGAUA
Bombus impatiens (common eastern bumble bee) is the source of this 1064-nucleotide long non-coding RNA. RefSeq lists it as uncharacterized. The transcript has 2 exons. The record is from RefSeq and is a predicted model, not a curated record. Lineage: Eukaryota; Metazoa; Arthropoda; Insecta; Hymenoptera; Apidae.